Molecule: small RNA, 444 nt
Filed under: Pongo abelii (Sumatran orangutan)
Lineage: Eukaryota; Metazoa; Chordata; Mammalia; Primates; Hominidae
Description: processed transcript
Source: RNAcentral
CCAGUGCAGUACCUGUACCAACCCACACCAUCUGGCUGGGGGCAGAGCUGGGAGAACAGUGGGUUCUGGAGUCGACUGGAAUACUUGGGAGAUGAGAUGACAGGUCUGGUCAUGACCAAGACAAAAACUCAGCGUGGCCUCAUGGAGCCCAUCACUCACAUCAGGAAGCCCCACUCCAUCCGGGUGGAGACAGUAAAACGGUGAGAGAGCUAGGAAACUGGAGUGCAGCCAUAGAGCUGCCGUCCGGUGUGGAGCCUUGAGCUGCAUGCCGUUGGUGAGCACCUGGAUCGUGGCUGCCCUGCCUUGAGAAGUGCUGUCACUGUCAACUGGACACUGGCUUUAGUGUGAAAACAAUAUAUUUUAUUAAUCAUUUUUAUAUUGAUUACAUGUCAAAAUGACAAUAUUUUUGAUAUACUGAAUUAAAUAAACUAUAUUACUAAAAUG